Molecule: ribosomal RNA, 572 nt
Filed under: Leotiomycetes sp. OTU31 TS-2013
Lineage: Eukaryota; Fungi; Ascomycota; Leotiomycetes
Description: eukaryotic LSU rRNA
Rfam family: Eukaryotic large subunit ribosomal RNA
Source: RNAcentral
AAACCAACAGGGAUUACCUCAGUAACGGCGAGUGAAGCGGUAACAGCUCAAAUUUGAAAGCUAGCUCUUUUAGGGUUCGCAUUGUAAUUUGUAGAAGAUGCUUCGGGUGUAGCUCCGGUCUAAGUUCCUUGGAACAGGACGUCAUAGAGGGUGAGAAUCCCGUAUGUGACUGGGUGCUUUCGCUCAUGUGAAGCUCUUUCGACGAGUCGAGUUGUUUGGGAAUGCAGCUCAAAAUGGGUGGUAAAUUUCAUCUAAAGCUAAAUAUUGGCCAGAGACCGAUAGCGCACAAGUAGAGUGAUCGAAAGAUGAAAAGCACUUUGGAAAGAGAGUUAAACAGUACGUGAAAUUGUUGAAAGGGAAGCGCUUGCAACCAGACUUGCGCGCUGAUGAUCAUCCGGGCUUCUGUCCGGUGCACUCGUCUGCGCUCAGGCCAGCAUCGGUUUCGGUGGUGGGAUAAAGGCCUUGGGAAUGUAGCUCCUCUCGGGGAGUGUUAUAGCCCUCGGUGCAAUGCCGCCUACCGGGACCGAGGACCGCGCUUCGGCUAGGAUGCUGGCGUAAUGGUUGUAAGCGAC